This is a long non-coding RNA of Helianthus annuus (common sunflower), 437 nucleotides long. RefSeq lists it as uncharacterized. Lineage: Eukaryota; Viridiplantae; Streptophyta; Magnoliopsida; Asterales; Asteraceae. The record is from RefSeq and is a predicted model, not a curated record. The transcript has 2 exons.
CUUUUAGACUUAUAAAGACCGUUGAAUCAUUUUGAAGAUGGAGGAAGUUCAGUUUUGUCUCCAUGGCCUCCAUUAAUAUUAGAAGUGUUUUCAUCUUCUUCUUCAUUUCAGCAAUCUUCUUUUUGCAACUUCUUUUCAUUACCGCAGAUGGAAGCGGGGGAUUCAGAACCGAACGAUAUGAUCCAAGAACACCACCAACACCACAAGCAAACAUGAUGUCACCUGAAUCGAGUUCGCCACCGCCAAUUUACACUUAAGAUUAUAGUUACUUUAUGCCAAAACUCAAACUACCUUCGUAAGACGCUAUGUUGUUCAAUUCAUAAUGUUACAAUAUAAUGUUGUUACAAUAUAAUGUUGUGGUAGUAACAUUUGACAUGGUUGUAAAAAAAGGUUCUUAAUGAUUAUUUUUUUGUGGUUGUUGUGUGUGUAUUGUGAUC